CCGGCUGUUCCAUCAGCCGUUUCCUACCCAGACAUGCGGAGCUGGUAACGGCUCGGUGUGAAGCUCUGGGGACAAUGUAACCACCGAUAUUAUCGGUACGCAGACCCGCGAGGGGAAGCAGAAUCUGCUAGCACAAGGGCGGUGAGGAAC
RNAcentral lists this non-coding RNA (150 nucleotides) under Paraburkholderia sp. BL25I1N1. The record is from RNAcentral. Lineage: Bacteria; Pseudomonadati; Pseudomonadota; Betaproteobacteria; Burkholderiales; Burkholderiaceae.